This 4310-nucleotide long non-coding RNA is filed under the name Populus trichocarpa (black cottonwood). RNAcentral's name for it is "long non-coding RNA (PTRI_LNC000434)". Lineage: Eukaryota; Viridiplantae; Streptophyta; Magnoliopsida; Malpighiales; Salicaceae. The record is from RNAcentral.
UUGUUUUCUCUAUUGUAAUUCAUGUCGCUAGAGCUAAUAGAAUUGCACUUGCACCUGCUGUUCUUGCCAGCAUUUAUAGAGAUAUGACUAUGUUGAAAGGGAAAAUAGCUGAGUCAACCUUGUUGGGGACUCCAAAGGGAAUACAUGAUGGUUUAACAGCUAAGCUUUGGUCAUCAACUUAAUGAGUUCAGGUUUGGGUUUGGAAGAGGUUCGAUGAACUGCAGCGGCCGGAGCCUAAUCUGAUGAUGAGUGGGUACCCUAGGUUGGCUCGGUGGAACAUUGAAACAGAAAGUUGAGAAUGUUUCGUUGGGUAUAGACUCGGAUAAAGAGAGUUUUAGCUCUGGAAAACUGGGAUUUCCUCAAGUUUUAUGGAGAAAAAGAAAUGUGGGCGACUGCUGGUUCUAGUUUGAAUGACGAAUUAAUGGCAUUUGCUCGAUGCGUCUGGGUUUCAAUGCUGGGUGGAGUUGGCUGUUCAGAACAGUAUUUACCGCAUAGGGUUGCAAUGCAAUUCGGAACUGACGGAGAUCUUUCAGGGUUGUGUUGGUCAAUGCUCUAAUUAACAGACCUGAGAUUGCAUAGAGCUUCAAGCUUUUGUUGAAGAGCUUGAGCAGAUGAUCACACGAAUAAAAGCAGCAAGAUUAAGACUAAAAUUGUUAACCUAGCUAGCCUUCUUCGUGAGAAUGAUUUGCUUGAUUUUAUUUUAUUUGAAUUCAUGGCUUCUCGUCUUCUGUUGGCUAUGCUACUAGCAUGGUAGUAGGCAUCGCAGCAGGUUCCUAUAUAGAUAACUCCCACCAUUGACGACAGAUGCAAAACAAGGUUAAAAGGAUAAUAGAAAUAAAUAUAUUCAUAUAGUAACCAUGCACUAUGGCGUGCAGACAAAUGCCGUGUGCUGCUGGACCCAACACACAGUCUACAAGGCGCCAUCUGUUCUGCCCAUCCAAUCAUGACAAGAUAAGCACUUGAGAGUUUAUUUGAUUUUAUCCGGUUGAUUUGAAGUGUGUGUUUUGAUAUAUAAAUUUUUUAAGGAAGAGAUAUUUUUCUUUAAUAUUUAGAACAAUGAUAUUUGUAGUUUAACUCCCUAAAUAUAUGAUUUGUAUUUUUGUUUAAUAAUUUUAUGUUUUAAAAAUAUCUUUUAUUUGUUUAUAUAAUAAUUAAAAUAAAGGCAAUAGAAACCAGUAGAAUUCAGCAUAUUUAAUUGUGAUGUUUGAUUCAUAUUGUGAUAAUAUUAUAAAUAAUAAAUUCAAAUAAAUUAUGAUGAUUAAAUCAAAAUUUAAUUAAAUAUUAAAAAAAAUUAAUAUUAAAAUGAUGAUAUAUUAAAUUAACUUGAAUUUUAUUAUUUAAAUUGUAAAACCCACAAUUUAAAUCAUGAGCUUAACUUAAAUGUUUUUUUUGAAAAUAAGAUUGUUACGAUGAUCAAGUACAAACAAAAAUAAUAAUUCAAGAUUUUUAUUAAAAGUAGAAUCCGUUAUACAUGUUUAUCAUUGAGUUAUAACCGGUCCGUAUAUGAAAAGGAAUGAAUUUGGGAUAGUUAUUAAACCCGGUUAACCCGGUGGCUGGACUGGUCUAGGUUUGUUAAAAGACUGGCCGGUGCAAUGACUCGGCAAAACUCGGUUGACCCAUGAUCCGGGCGAGACCUGAUGUUUUUUUUUCAAAUGUGGUUUUUCUUUUAUAUUUCUUUUUUUUUCAUAUUUUUUUAGUUGGUUAUUAACACUUUUUAAAGUUUCCUAUAGAAAAAUGUUAUUUUUUUGUUGUGGGAUUUCAAACCCUUUCAUAUAUAUACUUUAUGUUCACAAGAAAAAAAAUGUUGUUUUUUUAAUGUGGGAUUUGAAAUCCUUUAGUAUAUAUACUCUAUGUUCCCAAGCAAAAGGUUAUUUUUUCAAUAUGAGAUUUGAAACCCUUUAGCAUAUAUAUUCUAUGUUUCAAAAAAAAAGUUGUUUUUUCAAUAUGAGAUUUGAAAUCUUUUCAUAUAUAUAUAUUUUAUGUUCAUAAGAAAAAUAUUUUGUUUUUUCAAAGUGGGAUAACAAACUUUUUAGUUUAAAUACUUUAACUUAAAAGAAUGACAUAAUAUCUUUUCAAUGUGAAAUUUGAAACUCUUUAAUAUAUAUACUCCAGGUUCCCAAGAAAAAAAUUAUUUUUUCAAUGUGAGAUUUGAAAUCCUUUCGUAUAUAUAUUCUAUAUGCAUAAGAAAAAAAUUAUAUUUUUUUAAUGUAGGAUAAAUUUUUUUUUAAUUUAAAAAAAUAAUAUAAUAUUUUUUUAAUAUGAGAUAAAAAUUUCUUAAAAUAUUCUAUUAAAUCGAAAAGUAGCUACUAAAACUAGUAACUGUUUCUUUACUUUUAUAUAUAUAUAGGCAGGCCCACGAGGAAUGGACUGGUCCAAAUUUCUGGCGUUAUCGUGCGAUUACACGCGAGAAAUCUACCAAGCCCGAGCGGGCGGAAAACUUUUGAUACCAUCGUAGAUUGAUUACAGAUCUGAAUCCUCUGUAUAAAUUAACUGAUAUUGUGAAGAACCCUUGUCAUUGUAAACACAACUUUUCAAAAUUAUAAAGCAUCUACUUUUCUGGCGCUGCUCUUCGACAACCAGCUUUUUUCAAGGAAAACAUGGUGAAAUCUAGGGUUAAGAUUAAAAAAGAAGAUGCAAGGGAAGAUGAAGAUGAAGAUGAAGUACAACAAUCAGAUUAGCGAGAAGAACAAGCAUCAAAUUUCUGGAUGGAGAAUUAUCGUAUUGUAAUGAGAAGUUCCAGUUUUCCAGACUGCAACUGUAGAAAUGACAAGGACACCUGCUAAGAAGGCCAGUAAUCUGUCGUGAAUGAGGAAAUUCAUGGAUAGUGGCAGCGAGAUUUAGCAUGAAGCAUUUAACUUGUUUUCUCUAUUGUAAUUCAUGUCGCUAGAGCUAAUAGAAUUGCACUUGCACCUGCUGACUGCUGUUCUUUCCAGCAUUUAUAGAGAUAUGACUUGGUUGAAAAGGGAAAAUCGCAGAGUCAACCUUGUUGGGGGUUCCAUAGGGAAAAUAUGAUGGUUUAACAGUUAAGAUUUGGUCGUCAAUGCAAUUAGUUGAGGUUCGGGUUUGGAAGAGGUUAAAAAAACUGCAGCGGCCGGAGCCUAAUCUGAUGAAGAGUGGGUACCCUAGGUUGGCUGGGUGGGAUAAAUUGAAACAGGAUGUUGAGAAUGUUUCGUUGGUUCUAGACUCGGAUAAAGAGAGUUUUAGCUCUGGAAAACUGGGAUUUCCUCAAGUUUUAUGGAGAAAAAGAAAUGUGGGCGACUGUUGGUUCUUGUUUGAAUGACGAAUUAAUGGCUCGAUGCGUCUGGGUUUCAAUGCUGGGUGGAGGUGGCUGUUCAGAACAGUAUUUACCGCAUAGGGUUGCAAUGCAAUUCGGAACUGACGAAGAUCUUCAGGGUUGUGUUGGUCAAUGCUCUAAGUAACAGACCUGAGAUUGCAUAGAGCUUGAAGCUUUUGUUGAAGAGCUUGAGCAGAUGAUCACACGAAUAAAAGCAGCAAGAUUAAGACUAAAUUGUUAACCUAGCUAGCCUUCUUCGUGAGAAUGAUUUGCUUGAUUUUAUUUGCUUUGCUAGUUAUAUUAGUAACUCAAGUUUGACAAAUGAAGCAGAUGAAAGUGUUUGGGCUUUAGCUUUUCAUGACCGGGAGAUUGAAUUCCUGGCUUCUCUUCUUCUGUUUGCUAUGCUUACUAACAUGGUAGUGGAGCUUUGGACUGUCAGGCAUGGCGUCACUAUGAAACCCCCCCCCCCCCCAAUGAAGUUGAAUAUGACUCCUCGGAAGCUCUUCGAUGCCAGUCUUCACAUCUUAUUGUAUUCGCUUCUAACUUGUUUGGUGUCUUUUCAGAAUGGAUCUUGAGAAGGUUAAAAGGAUAAAAGAAAUAAAUAUAGCAACCAUUGCAGCAUGGCAUGAAGUUAUCACAGUGUGCAGACAAAUGAGGUGUGCUGGACCCAACGCAGAGUCUACUAGGCGUUUUCUGUUCUGCCCACCGAUUCUGACAAGAUUUGAUUUGACUUGAUUUGAAGUUUUGUAUUUUGAUAUAAUUUUUUUUAAAAGAGAUAUUUUUUUAAAAUAUUAAAAUUAAUUUAAUAUUUAUAGUUUAACCUUUCAAAAAAAUUGUUAGUGGUAUCUUCAACAGUUUAACAAUUUUAUUUUUUUAAAUAUAUAAUAAUAAAAAUAAAAAUUUAUAAAAUUAAACAUUAACUAAAUAUUAUAAUAUUUAAUUGAAACUAUAAUAAUUUUAUAAAAACAUUAUAAUAACAAAAAAUAAUAAAGAUUAUUAUGAUAAACCAUCACCGUAAUAUUUUUCAAUUCUAAAG